CUAGUUUAUGGUUCGCCAUAAACUAGUUAGUGAUGUCACACUUCCAAGAAAAUCUCAUACAUCUAUAUAAUUGAAUUCCCUGUACCUGAAACCGACACAGGUAGGUUGGUAGAGAAUACCAAGGGGCGCGAGAGAACUCUCUCUAAGGAACUCGGCAAACUGGCCCCGUAACUUCGGAAGAAGGGGCGCCCUCUGAAAGGAGGGUCGCAGUGACCAGGCCCAGGCGACUGUUUACCAAAAACACAGGUCUCCGCAAAGUCGUAAGACAAUAUAUGGGGGCUGACGCCUGCCCAGUGCCGGAAGGUCAAGGAAGUUGGUUAUUUCGCAAGAAAAAAGCUGACGACCGAAGCCCCGGUGAACGGCGGUCGUAACUAUAACGAUCCUAAGGUAGCGAAAUUCAUUGUCGAGUAAGUUUCGACCUGCACGAAAGGCGUAACGAUCUGGGCGCUGUCUCGGAGAGAGGCUCGGUGAAAUAGACUUGUCCCGUGAAGAUGCGGACUACUAACACCUGGACAGAAAGACCCUAUGAAGCUUGACUGUAUCUUGGAAUUGGGUUUGGGCUUUUCUUGCGCAGCCUAGGUGGGAGGCUAUGAUGAUUUUCUUCCGGGAAAGUCGGAGCCGUCAUUGAGAGACCACUCUGGAAGAGCUAGAAUCCUAAUGGGGAUCCUUGAAUCAGGACCCUUGACAGUUUCAGGUGGGCAGUUUAUUUGGGGCGAAUGCCUCCUAAAAGGUAACGGAGGCGUGCAAAGGUUCCCUCAGUCUGGACGGAAAUCAGACAUUGAGUGCAAAGGCAAAAGGGAGCUUGACUGCAAGACCUACAAGUCGAGCAGGGGCGAAAGCCGGCCUUAGUGAUCCGACGGUGCCGCGUGGAAGGGCCGUCGCUCAACGGAUAAAAGUUACUCUAAGGAUAACAGGCUGAUCUUCCCCAAGAGUUCACAUCGACGGGAAGGUUUGGCACCUCGAUGUCGGCUCAUCACAUCCUCGAUCCGUAGUAGGUUCGAAGGGUUGGGCUGUUCGCCCAUUAAAGUGGUACGUGAGCUUGGUUCAGAACGUCGUGAGACAGUUCGGUCCAUAUCCGGUGUUAGCGUUAGAGUAUUGAGGGGAGCCUUCUAUAGUACGAGAGGACCUAGAAGGACAUACCAAUGGUGUACCAGUUCUCAUUCCAAUGGGAAACGCUGGGUAGCUAUGUAUGGAUAGAUAACUGCUGAAAGCAUCUAAGUAGGAAGCUAACCCCAAGAUGAGUACUCUCUGAGGUCGCGGCAAGACAAGCCGUUUAAUAGGCAUCAGGUCUACAGUCAGCAAUGGCUUCAGCCGAGAUGUACUAAAGACC
RNAcentral lists this ribosomal RNA (1330 nucleotides) under metagenome. RNAcentral describes it as "bacterial LSU rRNA". It matches the Rfam family "Bacterial large subunit ribosomal RNA", at positions 1569 to 2910 of the family's 2925-position model. The record is from RNAcentral.